GACGAACGCUGGCGGCGUGCUUAACACAUGCCAGUCGAACGGAAAGGCCCUGCUUUUGUGGGGUGCUCGAGUGGCGAACGGGUGAGUAACACGUGAGUAACCUGCCCUUGACUUUGGGAUAACUUCAGGAAACUGGGGCUAAUACCGGAUAGGAGCUCCUGCUGCACGGUGGGGGUUGGAAAGUUUCGGCGGUUGGGGAUGGACUCGCGGCUUAUCAGCUUGUUGGUGGGGUAGUGGCUUACCAAGGCUUUGACGGGUAGCCGGCCUGAGAGGGUGACCGGCCACAUUGGGACUGAGAUACGGCCCAGACUCCUACGGGAGGCAGCAGUGGGGAAUAUUGCACAAUGGGCGGAAGCCUGAUGCAGCAACGCCGCGUGCGGGAUGACGGCCUUCGGGUUGUAAACCGCUUACGCCUGUGACGAAGCGUGAGUGACGGUAAUGGGUAAAGAAGCACCGGCUAACUACGUG
Molecule: ribosomal RNA, 468 nt
Filed under: uncultured bacterium
Lineage: Bacteria
Description: partial 16S ribosomal RNA
Rfam family: Bacterial small subunit ribosomal RNA
Source: RNAcentral